UGGUUUUUGGGGACCCUGGUGUGACAUUUGGGGACCCUGGGGUGGUUUUUGGGGACCCUUGGGACAUUUGGGGACCUUGGGGUGACAUUUGGAGAUCCCAGGAUGAUAUUUGGGGACCCUGGGGUGGUGUUUGGGGACCCUGGAUGACAUUUGGGGACCCUGGGUGACAUUUGGGGACCUUGGGCUGGCCCUGACCAUGUCCCCUCCAUGUCCCCCCCCCCAGUGGUGCCCCGGGCACCCAAAAAUUUGGGUGUGGUUGGGGCGGGGCCGCGGUGGCUGGAGCUGAGCUGGGAGCCGGGGGACAGCGCCGGGGACGGCGGGCCCCAGGAGUGCGCGGUGCAGGUGUCCCCGGCUGACGCCGCCGAUGUCGCCACCGAUGUCGCUGUGUCGCGAUAUGCCGCUGCUGCUGUCGCCGCCGAUGUCGCCGCCGACGCAGCCGUGUCGCGACAUGCCGCCGAUAUCGCCGACACAACCGUGUCGCGACAGGCCGCGACAGCGGUGACGUCGCGCUGGGCGCCGGCGCCGCCGUUCGCGCUGCGCAUGGCGGGGCUGCGGCCGCUGUCGCGAUACCGCGCGCGCGUGGCCUGUCGCGACAGGCGGGGCCGCUCGGCCUGGAGCCAAUGGGAGCCCGCGGCCACCGCGGAGGGCGGUGAGGGGGGGGGAACCCCGGAUUUGGGGAGGGGGGUGGGGGCGGGGGGACCCCAAAAAGGGUUUUUUUUUUUUUUUUUUUUUUUUUUUUUUUUUACCGAAAUUGCAGAGGGGGGAGGCGGGGAGGGAACGCCCAAAAAUGGGGGAGGGAGAGACCCCGAAAAUGGGGGGACCCCGAAAAUUGGGGGGAGUGGACCCCGAAAUUGGGGAGGGGGGACCACAAAAAUGGGGGGACACCACAAAAACUGGGGAGGGGGGAUGCCGGAAUGGGGGAGGGGGGACACCAAAUUUGGGGAGGGGGUUCCCCCCCAGUUUUGGGGUCUCAUUCCUCCCUUUUGGGGUUCUCACCCCCCAGUUUUUUGGGUCUUCCCCCAAAUUUGAGGUUCUAACCCCCAAAUUUUGGGGUGUCCCCCGCAGUUCCUGAGGGGCCCCCCCAGAACGUCACUGCCGAGUGGGUGGGGGAGGGGCGGGCCCGGCUGCGCUGGGGCCCCCCCCGGGCCCCCCUCAACGGCGUCCUGGGGGGCUUC
This 1175-nucleotide long non-coding RNA is filed under the name Chloebia gouldiae (Gouldian finch). RNAcentral's name for it is "Erythrura gouldiae (Gouldian finch) lncRNA (ENSEGOG00005011548.1)". The record is from RNAcentral. Lineage: Eukaryota; Metazoa; Chordata; Aves; Passeriformes; Passeridae.